RNAcentral lists this ribosomal RNA (491 nucleotides) under uncultured bacterium. RNAcentral's name for it is "partial 16S ribosomal RNA". It matches the Rfam family "Bacterial small subunit ribosomal RNA", at positions 31 to 507 of the family's 1533-position model. The record is from RNAcentral.
GAACGCUGGCGGCGUGCUUAACACAUGCAAGUCGAACGGUGAAGCGCCUUCCUUUUUGGUGGGUGUGGAUGAGUGGCGAACGGGUGAGUAACACGUGAGUAACCUGCCCCCUUCUUCUGGAUAACCGCAUGAAAGUGUGGCUAAUACGGGAUAUUCUGGGUCUGUCGCAUGAUGGGUCUGGGAAAGAUAUUGUUUCGGUGGGGGAUGGGCUCGCGGCCUAUCAGCUUGUUGGUGGGGUGAUGGCCUACCAAGGCGGUGACGGGUAGCCGGCCUGAGAGGGUGGACGGUCACACUGGGACUGAGACACGGCCCAGACUCCUACGGGAGGCAGCAGUGGGGAAUAUUGCACAAUGGGCGCAAGCCUGAUGCAGCGACGCCGCGUGAGGGAUGGAGGCCUUCGGGUUGUGAACCUCUUUCGCCAGUGAAGCAGGCCUGCCUCGUUUGUGGGUGGGUUGACGGUAGCUGGAGAAGAAGCGCCGGCUAACUACGUG